This is a non-coding RNA of Hemibagrus wyckioides, 415 nucleotides long. The record is from the annotation of a RefSeq genome assembly. NCBI's taxonomy places the organism in Eukaryota, Metazoa, Chordata, Actinopteri, Siluriformes, Bagridae.
CACACACACACACACACACACACACGCACGCACACACACAGGACAAAAAGCCAACAUGAGCAAUGCUCUCAUCAUCAUAUUUUCUGCUACGUUUUUGUGUCUAGCAGGUUCUGGUGUUUGUUCUGUAGUCCAGAAUCCUCCUGAUCUCGUAAAAAACCAAGAUGAGAUUGCUGAAAUCAAAUGUGCACACACUGUAAAGAACUAUGACCGCAUUCUGUGGUACAAACACAGUCAAGAGACAGGAUUUACACUCAUGGGAUACCUUUCAAAUGCCUAUGCAAAGCCAGAGGAAGAAUUUCAAAACAAAAUCAAACUGAAUGGUGAUGGAAGCAAAGACGGCACUUUGACUAUAAACAGUCUUUCAGUGAGCGACAGUGCUGUGUAUUACUGUGCAGCUUAUUACACAGUGCUGUAG